This 227-nucleotide ribosomal RNA is filed under the name uncultured bacterium. RNAcentral's name for it is "partial 16S ribosomal RNA". It matches the Rfam family "Bacterial small subunit ribosomal RNA", at positions 524 to 748 of the family's 1533-position model. The record is from RNAcentral.
UACGAAGGGGGCUAGCGUUGUUCGGAAUCACUGGGCGUAAAGCGUAUGUAGGCGGAUUGUUAAGUCAGGGGUGAAAUCCCGAGGCUCAACCUCGGAACUGCCUUUGAUACUGGCUGUCUUGAGUCCGGGAGAGGUGAGUGGAACUCCUAGUGUAGAGGUGAAAAUUCGUAGAUAUUAGGAAGAACACCAGUGGCGAAAGGCGGCUCACUGGCCCGGAACUGACGCUG